This 440-nucleotide ribosomal RNA is filed under the name uncultured bacterium. RNAcentral describes it as "partial 16S ribosomal RNA". It matches the Rfam family "Bacterial small subunit ribosomal RNA", at positions 339 to 795 of the family's 1533-position model. The record is from RNAcentral.
CUACGGGCGGCAGCAGUGAGGAAUAUUGCACAAUGGGGGGAACCCUGAUGCAGCAACGCCGCGUGGAGGAUGACGCAUUUCGGUGUGUAAAAUCCUUUUAUAUGUCAAGAAAAUGACGGUAGCAUAUGAAUAAGCACCGGCUAACUCCGUGCCAGCAGCCGCGGUAAUACGGAGGGUGCAAGCGUUACUCGGAAUCGACUGGGCGUAAAGGACGCGUAGGCGGGUUGGAAAGUCAGGUGUGAAAUCCUACAGCUUAACUGUAGAACUGCACUUGAAACUUCUAAUCUAGAGUAUGGGAGGGGGAGAUGGAAUUAGUGGUGUAGGGGUAAAAUCCGUAGAUAUCACUAGGAAUACCUAAAGCGAAGGCGAUCUCCUGGAACAUUACUGACGCUAAGGCGUGAAAGCGUGGGGAGCAAACAGGAUUAGAUACCCGGGUAGUC